UACGGAGGGUGCGAGCGUUAUCCGGAAUUACUGUGUUUAAAGGGUGCGUAGGCGGCCAAGUAAGUCAGGAGUGAAAGUUUGCGGCUCAACCGUAAAAUUGCUUUUGAUACUGCUAGGCUAGAAUUAGGAUGAGGUCAGCGGAAUGUGGCAUGUAGCGGUGAAAUGCAUAGAUAUGCCAUAGAACACCAAUUGCGAAGGCAGCUGGCUAGACCUGGAUUGACGCUGAGGCACGAAAGCGUGGGGAUCGAACAGG
Molecule: ribosomal RNA, 253 nt
Filed under: uncultured bacterium
Lineage: Bacteria
Description: partial 16S ribosomal RNA
Rfam family: Bacterial small subunit ribosomal RNA
Source: RNAcentral